UCAAAUGUUUUUUAAAGACUUAGGUUUCUUUAUGAAAUUGGCCCCUGCUCUAUGUUUUUAUAAAUGGCAGUCUUAGCGUGAGGACAUUAAGGUAGCAAAAUAAUUUGUGCUUUUAAUGGGUUCGGGUAUGAAUGGGGUUAUUGGUUAAUUUUUUACUUUAUUUUAAAUGAACUAAAUUUUUAUUUAAAAAGGUAAUAUGUAUAAUUAAACAAAGAUAAGUCUUCGGAAAUUUUUUUAUUAUCUUUUCUUUUGUUUAGAUAAUAUGUUUUCUAGGGUAGGAUAUUGUGUAAUUUUUUUUACUAUUGAUAUUUAAAAAAAUUACUUCGGAGUUAACAGAAAAUCAUGUCGUAACCAGAUUCUUAUGGUAGUGAUAAGUUUUACAUCGAUGUUGUAUUCCAAUUGUGCAAGAGAGGAGAAGGCUUGUUUUUUAAGACUGUUCUUCUGUUAAUUAAAUUGGACGUGAUAUUAGUUUAAUUCAUC
Molecule: ribosomal RNA, 480 nt
Filed under: Pseudoterranova azarasi
Lineage: Eukaryota; Metazoa; Nematoda; Chromadorea; Rhabditida; Anisakidae
Description: partial 23S ribosomal RNA
Source: RNAcentral